Molecule: microRNA precursor, 112 nt
Filed under: Nicotiana attenuata
Lineage: Eukaryota; Viridiplantae; Streptophyta; Magnoliopsida; Solanales; Solanaceae
Description: pre miRNA MIR1446
Source: RNAcentral
CCAGCGUUUUCUGAACUCUCUCCCUCAAUGGCUGCUCAUAUAUAGCCAUGCUUCUAUUUCUUGCAGCUUAAUCAAAGAACAGCCAUGAGAGAUUGAGUUCAGAAAACUCUUG